AGUGGCGAGCGAACGGGGAAUAGCCCAAACCACCCAUGUUACGGCAUGUGUGGGGUUGUAGGACCACGAUGUCGCAAGACAUUUGAUGAGUAGAAUCCUCUGGAAAGUGGAACCAUAGACGGUGAUAGUCCGGUAUACGAAGUCAAAUUAAGCGUAGUGGUAUCCUGAGUAGCGCGGGACACGAGAAAUCUUGCGUGAAUCUGCCGGGACCAUCCGGUAAGGCUAAAUACUCCCGAGAGACCGAUAGCGAACCAGUACUGUGAAGGAAAGGUGAAAAGCACUUCGAAUAGAAGAGUGAAAUAGUCCCUGAAACCGUGCGCCUACAAGCGGUCGGAGCUGCGUAAGCAGUGACGGCGUGCCUUUUGCAUAAUGAACCUACGAGUUACUUUUUCCGGCAAGGUUAAGCAUCUUGAGAUGUGCAGCCGAAGCGAAAGCGAGUCUGAACAGGGCGUAUAGUCGGAAGGAGUAGACGCGAAACCAAGUGAUCUACCCUUGGCCAGGUUGAAGGUUAGGUAACACUAACUGGAGGACCGAACCGAUAAGCGUUGAAAAGCUUCCGGAUGAACUGAGGGUGGGGGUGAAAGGCUAAUCAAACUUGGAGAUAGCUCGUACUCCCCGAAAUGCAUUUAGGUGCAGCCUUGUGAGUUACUAAUGUGAGGUAGAGCGACUGAUAAGAUGCGAGGGCUUCACCGCCUAUCAAGUCUUGAUAAACUCCGAAUGCGCAUUAGUUCUAUCACAGGAGUGAGGGCAUGGGUGCUAAGGUCCAUGUCCUAAAGGAGAAGAAUCCGGACCAUCAGCUAAGGUCCCGAAAUAGAUACUAAGUUGAACUAACGAAGUCAGAUUGCUAAGACAGCUAGGAUGUUGGCUUGGAAGCAGCCAUUCAUUUAAAGAGUGCGUAACAGCUCACUAGUCGAGGAGUUUGGCGUGGAUAAUAAUCGGGCAUUAAGUGUUUUACCGAAGCUAUGGGAUCAGUAAUGAUCGGUAGGGGAGCAUUCCACUCUGCGUCGAAGGUGAAGCGUGAGCUUUGCUGGAGCGUGUGGAAAAGCAAAUGUAGGUAUAAGUAACGAUAAAGGGGGUGAGAAACCCCCUCGCCGAAAGACUAAGGUUUCCUGAUCAACGCUAAUCGGAUCAGGGUUAGUCGGGUCCUAAGGCUCAGCCGAACGGUGAGGCCGAUGGCAGAACAGGUUAAUAUUCCUGUACUACCUUAAGGAGUGACGUGGAGACGGAGGCGUGACAGCGCCGCGGACUGACGGAAUAGUCCGUUGAAGGGUGUAGAUGCUGAUUGUUCCAGGCAAAUCCGGAGCAAGAGUCGAACCUGAUAGUAUGGAGCGUUCUUAGAACAAUCCAAUAGUGCGUGUAAUCAUACUUCCAAGAAAAUCCGCUAAACUUAAUCCUGCAGGUACCCGUACCGCAAACGGACACACGUAGUCGGGUUGAAUAUACUAAGGCGCUUGAGUGAUUCACGGUUAAGGAACUAGGCAAAUUGACCCUGUAACUUCGGGAUAAAGGGUCCCAACGAGAGUUGGGCGCAGAGAAUAGGUCCAGGCAACUGUUUAACAAAAACACAGGGCUGUGCCAAAUUGAAAGAUUACGUAUACAGCCUGACACCUGCCCGGUGCUGGAAGGUUAAGAGGAGAUGUCAUCGCAAGAGAAGCAUUGAAUUGAAGCCCCAGUAAACGGCGGCCGUAACUAUAACGGUCCUAAGGUAGCGAAAUUCCUUGUCAGGUAAGUUCUGACCCGCACGAAUGGCGUAAUGAUUUGGGCACUGUCUCGACAGCCCGCCCGGCGAAAUUGUAGUACUGGUGAAGAUGCCAGUUACCCGCAACUAGACGGAAAGACCCCAUGGAGCUUUACUGCAGUUUAAUACUGGGAAUCGGUAAUUCAUGUACAGGAUAGGUGGGAGACUGAGAAGCAUGGCCGUCAGGUCGUGUGGAGUCACCGGUGGGAUACCACUCUUGGAUUGCUGGUUUCCUAACCUGCGGCCCUGAAUCGGGUCGGGGGACACUGUUAGACGGGCAGUUUGACUGGGGCGGUCGCCUCCAAAAGAGUAACGGAGGCGCUCAAAGGUUCGUUCAGCACGGACGGAAAUCGUGCAUUGAGUGUAAACGCAUAAACGAGCCUAACUGCGAGACCGACGGGUCGAGCAGUAACGAAAGUUGGAGUUAGUGAUCCGGUGGUAUGUGAGUGGAAAUGCCAUCGCUCAACGGAUAAAAGUUACCCUGGGGAUAACAGGCUGAUCUCCCCCAAGAGUCCACAUCGACGGGGAGGUUUGGCACCUCGAUGUCGGCUCAUCGCAUCCUGGGGCUGUAUUCGGUCCCAAGGGUUUGGCUGUUCGCCAAUUAAAGCGGCACGCGAGCUGGGUUCAGAACGUCGUGAGACAGUUCGGUCCCUAUCUGUUGCGGGCGUAAGAGAUUUGAAGGGAGCUGUCCUUAGUACGAGAGGACCGGGAUGGACGUACCUCUGGUGCACCAGUUGUCCUGCCAAGGGCAUAGCUGGGUAGCUAUGUACGGACGAGAUAAACGCUGAAAGCAUCUAAGCGUGAAACUCUCCCUAAGAUGAGAUCUCUCAUCCAUUAUGGAGUAAGGGCCCAGAAAGACGAUCUGGUUGAUAGGCCGGAGGUGGAAGCACGGUAACGUGUGCAGCUGACCGGUACUAAUAGCCCGAGGGCUUGACCUA
Molecule: ribosomal RNA, 2676 nt
Filed under: human gut metagenome
Description: bacterial LSU rRNA
Rfam family: Bacterial large subunit ribosomal RNA
Source: RNAcentral